RNAcentral lists this ribosomal RNA (459 nucleotides) under uncultured bacterium. RNAcentral describes it as "partial 16S ribosomal RNA". It matches the Rfam family "Bacterial small subunit ribosomal RNA", at positions 338 to 795 of the family's 1533-position model. The record is from RNAcentral.
CCUACGGGUGGCUGCAGUGAGGAAUAUUGGUCAAUGGCCGAGAGGCUGAACCAGCCAAGUCGCGUGAGGGAAGACGGCCCUACGGGUUGUAAACCUCUUUUGUCGGGGAGCAAAGAGAGUCACGUGAGAAUCAUUGAGAGUACCCGAAGAGAAAGCAUAGGCUAACUCCGUGCCAGCAGCCGCGGUAAUACGGGGGAUGCGACGGUUAUCCGGAUUUAUUUGGUUUAAAGGGUGGGCAGGCGGAGGUGCACGUCAGCGGUCAAGUUGCGGGGCGCAACCCCGUACUGAGGGUGACACUGGAAGACUUGAGUGUGUUUGAGGUAGGCGGAAUGCGUGGUGUAGCAGUGAAAUGCAUAGAUAUCACGCAGAACUCCGAUUGCGAAGGCAGCUUACUAAGCCAUAACUGACACUGAAGCACGAAAGCGUGGGGAUCAAACAGGAUUAGAUACCCCUGUAGUC